Molecule: ribosomal RNA, 1387 nt
Filed under: uncultured bacterium
Lineage: Bacteria
Description: partial 16S ribosomal RNA
Rfam family: Bacterial small subunit ribosomal RNA
Source: RNAcentral
GAUGAACGCUGGCGGCGUGCCUAAUACAUGCAAGUCGAACGAACAGACAAGGAGCUUGGUCCUUUGACGUCAUCGGGGGACGGGUGAGAAUCACGUAUGUUCCCUCCGUCCUUCACAGGGAUACCUUCGGUAAACCCGACCGCAUACCCCAUAAUAUAUCUAAUCGCAUGGUUCAAUAGAGAAGAAUGGCUUUCCCAUCACUUAUACUUGGACCGUGCGACGAUAUAUGCUACUGAUAAGGUAACGGCUUGACCUAGGCGACCAUCCGUGCCACGACCUGAGAGGGUGAUCGGCCACACUGACAGCUGAGACGCGGACCGAGACUCCUACGCGGACGCACCCGGGAGGAAUCUUCCGGCGUGUCCUCACAGCCGGACGGAACUCCGCCGCAUGAGCGACGAAUGUUUGCAGAUCGCCUAACUCUGUGUAUUAGGCAAGAACACCGUGCUAGUAGCUGUGCUCGUCUUGACGGUACCGAAUCACGAAAGCCCACAGUUAACUACGUGCCAUCAUCCGCGCCAAUACGUAGGUGGCAUAGCGUUGUCCGGAAUUAUUGUCCGUAAAGCUCGCGCAUGCGGUCUUUUAAGUCUGAUAGGACAGCCCGCCGCUCAGCCGCGGAGGGUCACUGGAAACUGGCAAUCUAGAGUGCAGAAGAGGAAAGUGGAAUUCCUUGUGUAGCGGUGAAAUGCGCAGAGAUAUGGAGGAACACCAGUGGCGAAGGCGACUUUCUGGUCGGUAACUGACGCUGAUGCGCGAAAGCCUGGGGAUCAAACAGGAUUAGAUACCCUGGUAGUCCACGCCGUAAACGAUGAGUGCUAAGUGUUAGAGGGGUCUCCCCCCCUUAGUGGCUGCAGCUAACGCAAUAAGCACUCCGCCUGGGGAGUACGACCGCAAGGUUGAAACUCAAAGGAAUUGACGGGGACCCGCACAAGCGGUGGAGCAUGUGGUUUAAUUCGAAGCAACGCGAAGAACCUUACCAAAUCUUGACAUCCUUUGACCCUUCCAGAGAUAGAUGUUUCUCCCCCUCAGGCCACAAAACGAGUGGUGGCGCAUGGUCGUCAUCUCCUCGUGUCGAGAGAUGGGGGGAUAUGUCCCGCAACCACCGCCCCCCUCAUACUUAGUCGCCAUCUUUAAGUGGGGCAUUAUGAGAGGCCUCCCCGGGCCAAACCGGAGGAAGGGGGGGAGGACUUCAAUUCUCCAUCCCCCUUAGGAUUGGGGUUCCCCACUUGUUCCAAGGGACAAUACAAAGGGCAGCGAAACCGCGAGGUCAAGCAAAUCCCAGAAACUCUUUCUCAGUUCGGAUUGUAGUCUGCAACUCGCCUACAUGAAGUCUGGAAUCGCUAGUAAUCGCAGAUCAGCAUGCUACGGUGAAUACGUUCCCGGGUCU